This 285-nucleotide unclassified non-coding RNA is filed under the name Basidiomycota sp. RNAcentral describes it as "partial contains small subunit ribosomal RNA, internal transcribed spacer 1, and 5.8S ribosomal RNA". The stretch from base 1 to 47 matches the Rfam family "Eukaryotic small subunit ribosomal RNA", at positions 1785 to 1831 of the family's 1831-position model. Lineage: Eukaryota; Fungi; Basidiomycota. The record is from RNAcentral.
AAAGUCGUAACAAGGUUUCCGUAGGUGAACCUGCGGAAGGAUCAUUACAGUAUGUUCAGAGGUGGCUUUGCUGCUGGCUCCUAUUCCGGAGCAUGUGCGCGCCCCUCACCUUCAUCCAUAUACACUUGUGCACCUCGGUCGAAGCCUCCCGUCUGGAGCCGCCUUGCGAUUUGCGAGGCUGAGGCCUUCGACCGCUUUACAUUACUACAGCCUGUUUAAACGCAUGUCUAAUGUCCUACGGGGCGAUAUUAAAUACAACUUUCAACAACGGAUCUCUUGGCUUUC